UACGUAGGGACCGAGCGUUGUCCGGAAUCAUUGGGCGUAAAGAGCGUGUAGGCGGCCAACUAAGUCCUGCGUGAAAUCUCGGGGCUCAAACCCCGAGGCGGUCGUCGGGAAACUGGUUGGCUAGAGUGCGGGAGAGGAGGAGUGGAAUUCCUGGUGUAGCGGUGAAAUGCGCAGAUAUCAGGAAGAACACCCGUGGCGAAGGCGGCUCUCUGGAACGCAACUGACGCUGAGACGCGAAAGCGUGGGGAGCAAACAGG
Molecule: ribosomal RNA, 257 nt
Filed under: uncultured bacterium
Lineage: Bacteria
Description: partial 16S ribosomal RNA
Rfam family: Bacterial small subunit ribosomal RNA
Source: RNAcentral